This is a long non-coding RNA of Amblyraja radiata (thorny skate), 299 nucleotides long. RefSeq lists it as uncharacterized. The record is from RefSeq and is a predicted model, not a curated record. NCBI's taxonomy places the organism in Eukaryota, Metazoa, Chordata, Chondrichthyes, Rajiformes, Rajidae. The transcript has 3 exons.
UCCUGCAACUUUAGGCUGUGCACGCCAUAUGCAAGAACAAGACAAAGAAGAAGAAGAAGAAGAAUUGAAUUAUGCCGCUGUGGGUACAUAUGGCAAUAUAAUACUCUUGACUCUUUUGAACCAACCCAAGUAACUCCUGCAGUGGUCCUAUGGCUGGGAUGUGCCUCCUACUAGCACAACCAUCUUGCUUUGUAUACAGUACCAUCCAAACCUAUAGUGCCUGUUCACCAGUUUUUCCAGGGCUCCCUUAUGCUAUUCCUGUUCAAAUGCCAAUUUAAUCUAAAAAUAAAGUAAUUGAC